Long non-coding RNA from Engraulis encrasicolus (European anchovy), 1168 nucleotides. RefSeq lists it as uncharacterized. Lineage: Eukaryota; Metazoa; Chordata; Actinopteri; Clupeiformes; Engraulidae. The transcript has 3 exons. The record is from RefSeq and is a predicted model, not a curated record.
GUCACACCGACCUAUCAGCUGAUCUCACAGCUGAUUUCACUCCAGCUGAGACGCCGGCUUUUCGCAAGCUAGGAGGAAUAGCUGUCGGUCAACGUGCUUUCCUUUGUCCAUCCAAACGUGCAUUCUGGUCUACUCUUUGCACUCCGAUCUGUUGCCAAAUUCAACUUGGCGUGACACGCUCUCCGCCUCGUACAAGAGUAUCUACCGGUGCCAUCAGCUGUUUGUUGGCUACCCUGUUCAUCUACCAAAGCUCCGAGAGCUCUCUCCUUCUGGCUCAGCGUGGGUUUGAGUUUCCUCUGACUCGUCGGCCUUUAUUGUCUCCCUCCUCUCCUCCUCUGCUGUGGUGGAACGUGAGUAUACCGCUUCAACUUUUCAUCACGUUGUAAAAUUGGUACAAUAGCCCAGUUACAUCGCAUUAUCCUCUGUAUUUGUAGGCGCCUGGGUGUAGCUGCAGACUCCCGGUUCGCUCUGAAUUGCUGCUGUUUUGUCCCCCCUCGAUACGUGCUUCGGACUGACGCGUCGCAGUGUCCGGUCAUCCGAGGGCUAUCACUCCGAAAGCAUUCAGCAGCCCAGCAUAAGUUACCUUGCGCAGGUGGCGCAUGUGGCCGAGUUCAGUGUGUGCGUGAAUGUAGUCUGUGUGCAGGUAAUCCCAGAGGGAGGUCCUCUUCCCCCCUGGUGGUGGGUCCGGUCACGUGGUGUGCAGUGAAUUGCAGUGCAGUGCAGUGUUACCUGUGUGUGAGUGCAAUAAUUCACCUUCACUUAGUGUGUGCAUGGGCACGAGUGUUUGUGUGUACUUAUCCAAGGCCUAGACAGGGGGCUUAGUAUAAUUCCCCCCUCUUGGGUGCACCUGCCCUGUAUUUGAGAACCCUCCCUUUUGUACCGAUUUGUGUGAGUGUGUAUGUGAGUGUGAGUGUGUGUGUGCAUUGUGGUGGGAAAUAUUUUAAACUGUCCGGAUUUUUAUAUUUAUAUGUGAAAUUGUUAAUAAAGAGAUUAUUUUGUUACGGAAUCCACGUUUCCUCGUUAAUGCAACAGAACUUGUGUGGGGGUCAAAUCUAAGGUUUUCAUACAGUCCCUGGGCUGUAGUUCCCAUUCUUAUCCCAGGGUGGCGUAGUCUAUUUAGUAAGAAAAACUGUGAAAUUUAGAGUUUAAAACUCUCCUGUCCUUACCA